RNAcentral lists this ribosomal RNA (432 nucleotides) under uncultured bacterium. RNAcentral describes it as "partial 16S ribosomal RNA". It matches the Rfam family "Bacterial small subunit ribosomal RNA", at positions 28 to 507 of the family's 1533-position model. The record is from RNAcentral.
GAUGAACGCUGGCGGUAUGCUUAACACAUGCAAGUCGAACGGUACCUUCGGGUAUAGUGGCGGACGGGUGAGUAACGCGUGAGAAUCUAUCUUCAGGUCGGGGACAACAGUUAGAAAUGACUGCUAAUACCGGAUGUGCCGAAAGGUAAAAGAUUUAUUGCCUGAAAAAGAGCUCGCGUCAGAUUAGCUAGUAGGUGGUGUAAGAGACUACCUAGGCUUCGAUCUGUAGCUGGUCUGAGAGGACGAUCAGCCACACUGGAACUGAGACACGGUCCAGACUCCUACGGGAGGCAGCAGUGGGGAAUUUUCCGCAAUGGGCGAAAGCCUGACGGAGCAAUACCGCGUGAGGGACGAAGGCUCGUGGGUCGUAAACCUCUUUUCUCAAGGAAGAUUCAGACGGUACUUGAGGAAUAAGCAUCGGCUAACUCUGUG